GAGUUUGAUCCUGGCUCAGAUUGAACGCUGGCGGCAUGCUUUACACAUGCAAGUCGAACGGCAGCACAGGGAGCUUGCUCCUGGGUGGCGAGUGGCGAACGGGUGAGUAAUGUAUCGGAACGUGCCUGGUAGUGGGGGAUAACCACUCGAAAGAGUGGCUAAUACCGCAUGAGAUCUCUGGAUGAAAGCGGGGGACCUUUGGGCCUCGCGCUACUGGAGCGGCCGAUAUCAGAUUAGGUUGUUGGUGGGGUAAAGGCCUACCAAGCCUGCGAUCUGUAGCUGGUCUGAGAGGACGACCAGCCACACUGGGACUGAGACACGGCCCAGACUCCUACGGGAGGCAGCAGUGGGGAAUUUUGGACAAUGGGCGCAAGCCUGAUCCAGCAAUGCCGCGUGCAGGACGAAGGCCUUCGGGUUGUAAACUGCUUUUGUACAGAACGAAAAGUCUCUGGCUAAUAUCUGGAGAUUCA
RNAcentral lists this ribosomal RNA (470 nucleotides) under Brachymonas sp. canine oral taxon 015. Its description in RNAcentral is "bacterial SSU rRNA". It matches the Rfam family "Bacterial small subunit ribosomal RNA", at positions 9 to 471 of the family's 1533-position model. Lineage: Bacteria; Pseudomonadati; Pseudomonadota; Betaproteobacteria; Burkholderiales; Comamonadaceae. The record is from RNAcentral.